This 1042-nucleotide long non-coding RNA is filed under the name Phoenix dactylifera (date palm). Its description in RNAcentral is "long non-coding RNA (PDAC_LNC006026)". Lineage: Eukaryota; Viridiplantae; Streptophyta; Magnoliopsida; Arecales; Arecaceae. The record is from RNAcentral.
GAGGACAUCAUCGUUUUGGCUGAUCCAUUGUUCGUUUUAGGUUCAUUGAUACGGUGAGGUUUGAUUGGAUUCUUAGUCCUAGUUGAUCAGAUAUUUCACAUUGUGGAGAUCUUAAAUAGUUGCUGAAAAAAAUUUCCUUUCUCUUUGAUUAUUGUUGGUUUCUUGAUUUGUUAUUUGACCUUUUCACAACCAAACGAUGAGGUCAUCGAUCUGAUGCUUCGGUGAUGUUUUUGAGUAAUUCUCAACAAUUGAUGCACUCGAUCUGUCUGAUGGAAUAGAUUGUGCGAUCAUCGUCAUUGAGAUUUCUGCGUCCUUGUUUUCUUCUUAGAAUUCCAUUUUUAUUUCUUUCCAUUUAUGUUUUCUUCCAACUUUGCUCUGGAUUUGUGGUUCGGGAUAUUUGGUUUACUGUUCCACUGCCAAGCUUUUGCUCUGGCAGUGGCAGCUUAUGGUAACGAACAAAGUUUUGCUACUAGAAGUAAGAUUUCGAUCCGCUGAUAGUAAUUCCAAGCUCUUCCUUGAGAUAGGCAUUAACCAGAGUGGACUGGGCAAUGGAUGGUUUCUGCUAACAGUCAGUAAUCACUUGAUGGCUUACGCAAGUCAUAACGCUCCUUGCCCCACUAGUCUUAAAGAUUUGCAACUACCUUUCACCAUGUUUACUUUUUGUCAGCACUUCUUUACUGCUUAUCUUCUUCAAUUAUUUUUAUUAAAUAUUUUAACAUAAUUGAUUUACUGAUCUCUUGUUUGUGAUGAUCCAAAAUAGGAAAUAAUUGAUGCUUGUGUUUAACAAUGUCAGUUUAGGUGCAUGAUUCAUUUUUCCAAGUUACAUUCAGUGAAUUUCAACAUUUUAUCGAAACUUGGGUUUGUUGGACAUUUUUAACUUACAUGGCGUUCAUUUUCUUCUUAAUUUUAUAUUUGAAAUAUGGAGGCAAAAAACUGUCACAACACUCGGUAAAUCCUUUAUGAUUAUUGUAAAACCAUGAUAAGGAUAUAAAUAAAGAUUUUCACAACUUCUUUUGCCUAUGAUAAUAGUUUUCUUGUUUCU